RNAcentral lists this ribosomal RNA (387 nucleotides) under Triticum aestivum (bread wheat). RNAcentral's name for it is "partial small subunit ribosomal RNA". The record is from RNAcentral. Lineage: Eukaryota; Viridiplantae; Streptophyta; Magnoliopsida; Poales; Poaceae.
GCUAAUGUCAACAUGAACUUCAACGCGUUCCUAGAGAAAACCAAGCUGAAAGAUGAUGGCAGCAACUAUACGGACUGGGUCCGGAACCUGAGGAUCAUCCUCAUAGCUGCCAGGAAACAAUAUGUCCUAGAAGGACUGCUAGGUGACACUCCCGUCCCAGAGAACCAAGACAUUAUGAAUGCUUGGCAGUCUCGUGCUGAUGAUUACUCCCUCGUUCAGUGCGGCAUGCUUUACAGCUUAGAACCGGUGCUCCAAAAGCGUUUUGAGCACCACGGAGCAUAUGAGAUGUUCGAAGAGCUGAAACUAGUUUUUCAAGCUCAUGCCCGGGUCGAGAGAUAUGAUGUCUCCGACAAGUUCUACAGUUGUAAGAUGGAGGAAAACAGUUCU